GGGCCCAUAGCUCAAUCGGUUAGAGCGUCCGGCUCAUAACUGGAGGGUUCCAGGUUCGAGUCCUGGUGGGCCCA
This 74-nucleotide transfer RNA is filed under the name Elusimicrobia bacterium RIFCSPLOWO2_01_FULL_59_12. RNAcentral's name for it is "tRNA-Met". It matches the Rfam family "tRNA". Rfam says of the family: Transfer RNA (tRNA) molecules are approximately 80 nucleotides in length. Their secondary structure includes four short double-helical elements and three loops (D, anti-codon, and T loops). Lineage: Bacteria; Pseudomonadati; Elusimicrobiota. The record is from RNAcentral.